RNAcentral lists this small RNA (277 nucleotides) under Arabidopsis thaliana (thale cress). RNAcentral describes it as "ATSL196360". Lineage: Eukaryota; Viridiplantae; Streptophyta; Magnoliopsida; Brassicales; Brassicaceae. The record is from RNAcentral.
AGCUUUGCGGUGAGAUCUUUAAGGCUUUGCUUCUCUUCCUUAGGCUUAGCGGAGAUAACGGUGUUGAGAUCGUAACGGAGGUACGAUGCUCUUAAACGGAGAUCGUUCUGAACAUAGGGCCAAGCUUUUUUGUCGAUAAAUGACUUAACGUUGAUGAUCUCUUUAGCAGAAUCUUUGGCUCUAGCUGCAGCUUCUGUUGGUGACAAUGGUUGUAUGUAAAAUCUAUCUUUCAAUGCCAAUGAAAAGUCUCUUGCUUGGUCUGAGUUAUCUGUUCCAG